This 1979-nucleotide ribosomal RNA is filed under the name Shigella flexneri. Its description in RNAcentral is "partial 23S ribosomal RNA". It matches the Rfam family "Bacterial large subunit ribosomal RNA", at positions 1 to 1996 of the family's 2925-position model. Lineage: Bacteria; Pseudomonadati; Pseudomonadota; Gammaproteobacteria; Enterobacterales; Enterobacteriaceae. The record is from RNAcentral.
GGGUUGUGAGGUUAAGCGACUAAGCGUACACGGUGGAUGCCCUGGCAGUCAGAGGCGAUGAAGGACGUGCUAAUCUGCGAUAAGCGUCGGUAAGGUGAUAUGAACCGUUAUAACCGGCGAUUUCCGAAUGGGGAAACCCAGUGUGAUUCGUCACACUAUCAUUAACUGAAUCCAUAGGUUAAUGAGGCGAACCGGGGGAACUGAAACAUCUAAGUACCCCGAGGAAAAGAAAUCAACCGAGAUUCCCCCAGUAGCGGCGAGCGAACGGGGAGCAGCCCAGAGCCUGAAUCAGUGUGUGUGUUAGUGGAAGCGUCUGGAAAGGCGUGCGAUACAGGGUGACAGCCCCGUACACAAAAAUGCACAUACUGUGAGCUCGAUGAGUAGGGCGGGACACGUGGUAUCCUGUCUGAAUAUGGGGGGACCAUCCUCCAAGGCUAAAUACUCCUGACUGACCGAUAGUGAACCAGUACCGUGAGGGAAAGGCGAAAAGAACCCCGGCGAGGGGAGUGAAAAAGAACCUGAAACCGUGUACGUACAAGCAGUGGGAGCACGCUUAGGCGUGUGACUGCGUACCUUUUGUAUAAUGGGUCAGCGACUUAUAUUCUGUAGCAAGGUUAACCGAAUAGGGGAGCCGAAGGGAAACCGAGUCUUAACUGGGCGUUAAGUUGCAGGGUAUAGACCCGAAACCCGGUGAUCUAGCCAUGGGCAGGUUGAAGGUUGGGUAACACUAACUGGAGGACCGAACCGACUAAUGUUGAAAAAUUAGCGGAUGACUUGUGGCUGGGGGUGAAAGGCCAAUCAAACCGGGAGAUAGCUGGUUCUCCCCGAAAGCUAUUUAGGUAGCGCCUCGUGAAUUCAUCUCCGGGGGUAGAGCACUGUUUCGGCAAGGGGGUCAUCCCGACUUACCAACCCGAUGCAAACUGCGAAUACCGGAGAAUGUUAUCACGGGAGACACACGGCGGGUGCUAACGUCCGUCGUGAAGAGGGAAACAACCCAGACCGCCAGCUAAGGUCCCAAAGUCAUGGUUAAGUGGGAAACGAUGUGGGAAGGCCCAGACAGCCAGGAUGUUGGCUUAGAAGCAGCCAUCAUUUAAAGAAAGCGUAAUAGCUCACUGGUCGAGUCGGCCUGCGCGGAAGAUGUAACGGGGCUAAACCAUGCACCGAAGCUGCGGCAGCGACGCUUAUGCGUUGUUGGGUAGGGGAGCGUUCUGUAAGCCUGUGAAGGUGUGCUGUGAGGUAUGCUGGAGGUAUCAGAAGUGCGAAUGCUGACAUAAGUAACGAUAAAGCGGGUGAAAAGCCCGCUCGCCGGAAGACCAAGGGUUCCUGUCCAACGUUAAUCGGGGCAGGGUGAGUCGACCCCUAAGGCGAGGCCGAAAGGCGUAGUCGAUGGGAAACAGGUUAAUAUUCCUGUACUUGGUGUUACUGCGAAGGGGGGACGGAGAAGGCUAUGUUGGCCGGGCGACGGUUGUCCCGGUUUAAGCGUGUAGGCUGGUUUUCCAGGCAAAUCCGGAAAAUCAAGGCCGAGGCGUGAUGACGAGGCACUACGGUGCUGAAGCAACAAAUGCCCUGCUUCCAGGAAAAGCCUCUAAGCAUCAGGUAACAUCAAAUCGUACCCCAAACCGACACAGGUGGUCAGGUAGAGAAUACCAAGGCGCUUGAGAGAACUCGGGUGAAGGAACUAGGCAAAAUGGUGCCGUAACUUCGGGAGAAGGCACGCUGAUACGUAGGUGAAGCGACUUGCUCGUGGAGCUGAAAUCAGUCGAAGAUACCAGCUGGCUGCAACUGUUUAUUAAAAACACAGCACUGUGCAAACACGAAAGUGGACGUAUACGGUGUGACGCCUGCCCGGUGCCGGAAGGUUAAUUGAUGGGGUUAGCGCAAGCGAAGCUCUUGAUCGAAGCCCCGGUAAACGGCGGCCGUAACUAUAACGGUCCUAAGGUAGCGAAAUUCCUUGUCGGGUAAGUUCCGACCUGCACGAA